RNAcentral lists this ribosomal RNA (253 nucleotides) under uncultured bacterium. RNAcentral describes it as "partial 16S ribosomal RNA". It matches the Rfam family "Bacterial small subunit ribosomal RNA", at positions 524 to 776 of the family's 1533-position model. The record is from RNAcentral.
UACAGAGGUCCCAAGCGUUGUUCGGAUUCACUGGGCGUAAAGGGUGCGUAGGUGGUCGGGUAAGUCUGAUGUGAAAUCUCCGGGCCUAACCCGGAAACUGCAUCGGAUACUAUUCGGCUAGAGGGUUGGAGGGGGGACUGGAAUACUUGGUGUAGCAGUGAAAUGCGUAGAUAUCGAGAGGAACACCAGUGGCGAAGGCGAGUCCCUGGACAACUACUGACACUGAGGCACGAAAGCUAGGGGAGCAAACAGG